GGAGUUAGCCGGUGCUUCUUCUGUGAGUGAUGUCCUUCCUGCCGGCUAUUAACCCGCAGGCCUUCUUCCUCACUGAAAGUGCUUUACAACCCGAAGGCCUUCUUCACACACGCGGCAUGGCUGGAUCAGGGUUGCCCCCAUUGUCCAAUAUUCCCCACUGCUGCCUCCCGUAGGAGUCUGGGCCGUGUCUCAGUCCCAGUGUGGCUGAUCAUCCUCUCAGACCAGCUACGGAUCGUCGCCUUGGUGAGCCGUUACCUCACCAACCAGCUAAUCCGACAUAGGCUCAUCCGAUAGCGCGAGGCCCGAAGGUCCCCCGCUUUCCCCCGUAGGGCGUAUGCGGUAUUAGCCUGGGUUUCCCCAGGUUAUCCCCCACUACCGGGCAGAUUCCUAUGCAUUACUCACCCGUCCGCCGCUCGCCACCAGGGAGCAAGCUCCCCGUGCUGUCGCUCGACUUGCAUGUGUAGCUCGCCGCCACGCGUCAUCUGAGCAUGAUACAACUACUGA
RNAcentral lists this ribosomal RNA (504 nucleotides) under uncultured bacterium. RNAcentral describes it as "partial 16S ribosomal RNA". The record is from RNAcentral.